RNAcentral lists this unclassified non-coding RNA (770 nucleotides) under uncultured Prochlorococcus sp. Its description in RNAcentral is "partial 16S-23S ribosomal RNA intergenic spacer; may also contain 16S ribosomal RNA and 23S ribosomal RNA". The stretch from base 1 to 93 matches the Rfam family "Bacterial small subunit ribosomal RNA", at positions 1441 to 1533 of the family's 1533-position model. The record is from RNAcentral. Lineage: Bacteria; Bacillati; Cyanobacteriota; Cyanophyceae; Synechococcales; Prochlorococcaceae.
UUGUGGAGGAGGACGCCGAAGGUGGGGCUGAUGACUGGGGUGAAGUCGUAACAAGGUAGCCGUACCGGAAGGUGCGGCUGGAUCACCUCCUAACAGGGAGACAAAUAACUGAUCGUGAUGCCUGAGUAUUUUUUAUUCUUAGGUCAUGAUCCUGUCACCUUAGGUCGAUCGGUACCUCAAAUUGAAAGCAAGAACAAUGAGAAAUCAUUUUUCAAAAGCUAUUAAUUUUCAGUUCCUAAACUUUGUCUAGGUCACACCCAACAAGGGUACUCCUAGCCAUUAGCUCAGGUGGUUAGAGCGCACCCCUGAUAAGGGUGAGGUCCCUGGUUCAAGUCCAGGAUGGCCCAUUCGAUGUUGGGGGUAUAGCUCAGUUGGUAGAGCGCCUGCUUUGCAAGCAGGAUGUCAGCGGUUCGAGUCCGCUUACCUCCACUGAUCGACCUCCUGAUAACGAUACUCGAAGGAGAUUGACUUGUUUACGUGACUUAGAAAAGUUGUACAGCUGAAGGAACCUAGCUUCUUAUCAUUCCAAAUCUAAAAAUUAGAAUAGGUUGAUAUGACGCUGGGCUCACUGCAAAUUGUUAUUUGCAGAGAUGUUCAGUAGAACCUUGAAAACUGCAUAGUGAGUCUGGAAAGAAUAAAGCAUCUCAUGGAUGCAUUAUUCUUCCAAGUUAAAUUUUUGACUGUGGAAGAAUAAUGAGUAAUUCUUGAGUCAAGAGCAAGAUAAUAAUUAAGGUUUUAGUACCUUAAUUAUUUAAAUGGUCAAGCUACAA